Molecule: ribosomal RNA, 354 nt
Filed under: uncultured Mollicutes bacterium
Lineage: Bacteria; Bacillati; Mycoplasmatota; Mollicutes
Description: bacterial SSU rRNA
Rfam family: Bacterial small subunit ribosomal RNA
Source: RNAcentral
AGCCAGAACACAGGUGCUGCAUGGUUGUCGUCAGCUCGUGCCGUGAGGUGUUGGGUUAAGUCCCGCAACGAGCGCAACCCUCAUUGUUAGUUACUACCAUUCAGUUGAGGACUCUAAUGAGACUGCAACGACAAGUUGGAGGAAGUGGGGAUGACGUCAAAUCAUCAUGCCCUUUAUGACCUGGGCUACAAACGUACUACAAUGGCCAAUACAAAGAGAUGCGAAGCGGUGACGUGGAGCGAACCUCAGAAAGUUGGUCUCAGUUCAGAUUGAAGUCUGCAACUCGACUUCAUGAAGGCGGAAUCGCUAGUAAUCGCGGGUCAGCAGACCGCGGUGAAUACGUUCCCGGGUUUU